Molecule: ribosomal RNA, 345 nt
Filed under: Triticum aestivum (bread wheat)
Lineage: Eukaryota; Viridiplantae; Streptophyta; Magnoliopsida; Poales; Poaceae
Description: partial small subunit ribosomal RNA
Source: RNAcentral
AUGUUCAGAACGACAGGAAGGCUUUCAAGUUUCAAGGAUGGUAAAAAGCAUAGAGAAGGAAAAAAGGGAAUGACAACAGCACAAGUUCUAGGAAGAGUGAGCAUGGGUAUGAUUCAGAAGAUGAUUCUGAGACUGGCCAUGAUGAUGAGAAAAGGGGGAAAGAAACACAUGAAGAAAUCCUUCUUAGAUGGAGAUGUUGAUCCUGUGAUUGUUCAUAAGAAGGCAACUAUUGCCUCCUUGCAACCAGCACGUUUAUGCAAGCUAUCAGCGUGUUGCUCUGAAAGCCUGAAACUUCGGCGUCACCAUAAUUACUGCUCUAAUAAUGCUUGGUUGCCGUCAGCGUAG